This 393-nucleotide ribosomal RNA is filed under the name uncultured bacterium. RNAcentral's name for it is "partial 16S ribosomal RNA". It matches the Rfam family "Bacterial small subunit ribosomal RNA", at positions 523 to 918 of the family's 1533-position model. The record is from RNAcentral.
AUACGGAGGAUCCGAGCGUUAUCCGGAUUUAUUGGGUUUAAAGGGAGCGUAGGUGGAUUGUUAAGUCAGUUGUGAAAGUUUGCGGCUCAACCGUAAAAUUGCAGUUGAAACUGGCAGUCUUGAGUACAGUAGAGGUGGGCGGAAUUCGUGGUGUAGCGGUGAAAUGCUUAGAUAUCACGAAGAACUCCGAUCGCGAAGGCAGCUCACCGGGCCGGAACUGACACUGAUGCUCGAAAGUGUGGGUAUCAAACAGGAUUAGAUACCCUGGUAGUCCGCACAGUAAACGAUGAAUACUCGCUGUUUGCGAUACACUGUAAGCGGCCAAGCGAAAGCGUUAAGUAUUCCACCUGGGGAGUACGCCGGCAACGGUGAAACUCAAAGGAAUUGACGGGG